Molecule: ribosomal RNA, 433 nt
Filed under: uncultured bacterium
Lineage: Bacteria
Description: partial 16S ribosomal RNA
Rfam family: Bacterial small subunit ribosomal RNA
Source: RNAcentral
AACGAACGCUGGCGGCAUGCCUAACACAUGCAAGUCGAACGAGACCUUCGGGUCUAGUGGCGCACGGGUGCGUAACGCGUGGGAACCUGCCCUUAGGUUCGGAAUAACUCCCCGAAAGGGGUGCUAAUACCGGCUAAUGUCCUCGGACCAAAGAUUUGUCGCCUUUGGAUGGGCCCGCGUUGGAUUAGCUAGUUGGUAGGGUAAAAGCCUACCAAGGCGACGAUCCAUAGCUGGUCUGAGAGGAUGAUCAGCCACACUGGGACUGAGACACGGCCCAGACUCCUACGGGAGGCAGCAGUGGGGAAUAUUGGACAAUGGGCGAAAGCCUGAUCCAGCAAUGCCGCGUGAGUGAUGAAGGCCUUAGGGUUGUAAAGCUCUUUUACCCGGGAUGAUAAUGACAGUACCGGGAGAAUAAGCUCCGGCUAACUCCGUG